RNAcentral lists this microRNA precursor (96 nucleotides) under Paenibacillus sp. UNC499MF. RNAcentral's name for it is "microRNA mir-598". The record is from RNAcentral. Lineage: Bacteria; Bacillati; Bacillota; Bacilli; Caryophanales; Paenibacillaceae.
UGAUCAUGAUGAUGUUCAUGCGCGUGGUCGUGAUCGUGAUCAUGGUGGUGAUGGUGUCCAUGAUGGUGAUCAUGGUCAUGAUCGUGAUCAUGGUCA